AGUCGUAACAAGGUUUCCGUAGGUGAACCUGCGGAAGGAUCAUUAU
This 46-nucleotide ribosomal RNA is filed under the name Ceratobasidium sp. CSLBin010. Its description in RNAcentral is "partial 18S ribosomal RNA". It matches the Rfam family "Eukaryotic small subunit ribosomal RNA", at positions 1787 to 1831 of the family's 1831-position model. The record is from RNAcentral. Lineage: Eukaryota; Fungi; Basidiomycota; Agaricomycetes; Cantharellales; Ceratobasidiaceae. RNAcentral also lists the same sequence under 3 other names.